Molecule: ribosomal RNA, 236 nt
Filed under: uncultured bacterium
Lineage: Bacteria
Description: partial 16S ribosomal RNA
Rfam family: Bacterial small subunit ribosomal RNA
Source: RNAcentral
UACGAAGGGUGCAAACGUUGCUCGGAAUUAUUGGGCGUAAAGCGCACGUAGGCGGCUUUUCAAGUCCCAUGUGAAAUCCCACGGCUUAACCGUGGAAGUGCAUGGGAAACUGGAAAGCUUGAGUACUUAAGAGGAUCGCGGAAUUCCCGGUGUAGAGGUGAAAUUCGUAGAUAUCGGGAGGAACACCAGUGGCGAAGGCGGUUCUCUGGGCCUUACCUGACGCUGAGGAGGCGAAA